UCGCCCGCCCUCGAGGAUUUGGCCGCCCCGACUCGAGACGAUGCCGCCGACGCCGCGCCGCCCGACUCGACGCCGGCGAUCUCUCCGGCCUACUGGACUUCUCACCGGUGGUUAGUCAUCGCAGCCCCUCCCCUCCCCCCUCCUCUCCAUGGCUGCCACCGCCCGCACGCCCUCCGUCCUCCUCGUCCUCACCGGCGAGCACGCCAAGAACGGCGUCCCCUACCCCAGCUCCACAUGGACCCUAACCCUAGGCCAGCCAGCUAGCUUGCCAAGAAUGCCCGCCUCCUCUAGCCUAUCUGUUUGUUUGUGCUACCGGGCUCUGUUCUGAUCCAGUGGCAAAACAGAUGUUAGCUUGUGCCUGCUGUUCUACACUGCCUUAUUUUCUAUACUGCUGUUCUGAUCCAGUGGCAAAACAGAUGCUAACUCUGUCAUGUGACUAUCUUCUACAUACAGUAUCUUUAACUAAAGUGGCAUUUUGAUUAUCAAGGAAAUUAUUAGUAUCUCGGUAACUAAAAUGACAUUUUAAUUAGCAGCGACUAUUCAGAUUUAACAAGGAACUUACAAAUAACAUGCUUUAACCUGUCAAGUCACGAGGAAGAUUUGCGGUGGUCUGGACUCUACUGGUGCAUGCUUUAACCAUCUUCUUUCAUUCUCUCGAACACGCAUCUAAUUGUGUGUCAUUUUUAGUUACCAUCGUCUUCCAUGCUUUUGCUUUUCACCGAGACAAAUUUCUAAUUAUCAGUAGCUAUUGUCUAAUUGUGUGAGUUGGUGUAACAAGGAAUUUGCUUUUGCCAGCUGUUUUAUCAGGAAUCCUUUUUGUGUGGUCAGGGAAAUCUUUUUUGUGAGGAUCUCUAUUUAGGUGUACUCUUCCUAUCCAGUUCAUUGGUCUGACUUCGAAGUGCCAGCUCAAUUAAUUAGGUGCCCUCACCAACCAAUGGUUAACCUAGCUGACCUCCCUUUUUGAAGCCAUGUAUAUACCCCUACACAGGCAGCUUAUUCCCCAUGCCAAUAAUUAGUGUCUCUUAGCUCCUAUGCUUGCAGUAACCUGCUGGCUUCCCUUUUUAAUUAGUCCUAUUAAAACAUCUGAAUUACUGCUGUGUAAUGCAUGGUAUGUUGUGAGACAGAAACAUGAAUCAGUGCUACUACAUCUGUUAAAUACUCCAACACAUGGUAUGUUGUGAGACAGAAACAUGAAGAAUCACUUGCACAUGUGACCAGAGACUUCCCAACCUUUAGGUUAAAUCUAGUGCCACAUAGCCAGCGCUGGACCUGGUGACCGUUGGGGUGGAGCGCUCACGUCCGCUUGGCGAUUCAAACUUCGCCGUCGGGCCGCCCAUGGCUGACCUCGCCGGCGCCGCCCCGGCGGCCGGCGGGUCGGCCGUCUCGGCUGCGCCACGCCCGGAGGUGGUUGCUCCCCAGGGUCCGUCCCUGUCCUUCGCGUCGUCGGCGUUCUCCUGGGCGGAUCUCGCGGACGAGGAGGCCAUGGACGUCGGACCGGUCGAGCGUCCGGUGAAGCUGGCUCUGCCGCUCUUCAGAGACUUCUGGGUGGCGGCCCGGCCCGCGCGCGUCAGUCCUCGCCGCCUCUCCGGCCGUCCCCGCCCCUUGCGGCCGCCGGUGGCGCGUCCCGUGGCUCGCCCGCCCCUAUCUGGGCCGGCGUCCCGUGCAGAUCGGCCGGUUCCUGUGGUCGCGGUGACCGCCGUCUCCGACCGUUGCCUGGUCCUGGCGGAGCCUGGUAGCUCUGCCGGGUCUGGUGCGGGGUCCGGGAAGGCCGCUCCGGCGAUGGCGCCGGCGGCGCUGCGGGAGGGGUUUGCCCCCUGGUCGGGUCCGGAUCGGGCCGUGCUCCUACGUGGGCCAGCUAGCGCUCGCAUGGUGGGCCGGCCCGGGGGAGCGUGGGAGGGCCUGCACCGUUCUGGGCCUGGUUCCUCUCGGAGGGCCAUCUGGGCUGACCCGGCGGCCCGCUGCGCGGCUGUCCAGUCCCAGGCCGUUAUUGACCGGGCCAACCGGGCCUGGUUGCUGUCCCACGCGGACCCGGCCCGUUGGGUGUGGAUCCAGCGUGGCGCUGGAGACGUGUCACACGGAUGGCAUGUGACCCGUUUAGAUGUCGCUAGGGCUGGACGGUGCGCUCGUCUCCUCCUCCCUAUUCCCUCGCAGCCGCCGCCUUCCCCCUGCGCUCCCGCCGUUCCGGCCGCCCUGGUCUUCGCCGCCGGCCCGUCUCCGUCCUCGCCGCGGUCAUCGCUCCCCAUCCCCCAGCCCCGCCCCCGGUCCUACCUGGAGGCCCUCAUGACCAGGGACGUCGGCAACGGAUUGCCGCGGCCGAAGAGGCCUCUGGACCAGGCGUCCUCCUCGCGCUCCGAUGUCCGGCCGGCUCGGGCCUCGGCGACCUACGCCGGAACUUCUCUGCNNNNNNNNNNNNNNNNNNNNNNNNNNNNNNNNNNNNNNNNNNNNNNNNNNNNNNNNNNNNNNNNNNNNNNNNNNNNNNNNNNNNNNNNNNNNNNNNNNNNNNNNNNNNNNNNNNNNNNNNNNNNNNNNNNNNNNNNNNNNNNNNNNNNNNNNNNNNNNNNNNNNNNNNNNNNNNNNNNNNNNNNNNNNNNNNNNNNNNNNNNNNNNNNNNNNNNNNNNNNNNNNNNNNNNNNNNNNNNNNNNNNNNNNNNNNNNNNNNNNNNNNNNNNNNNNNNNNNNNNNNNNNNNNNCCCCCGCGACCCAUCUCGGGAUGCCCGGCUGCCGCUGCCGGGGUCCUCGGGCGACCUGCGACGCCAGGAUGCUGCUCGCCGUCGCGCCAAUGGUGAUGAUGGGCGUCGCCGUGAUGAGGACCUUGCUCGCGAGGCGGAUCUGCGGGCGGAGCUGCAGACCCGGCCCCCUGCUGCCGACCGGGCGCGGGCUGUUCUGGAGCUGGGGCGGCCGGCGCCGCGGGUGCCUUCUCCGCGGGCGUCGGAUGGCGAUUGGCGUCGUGGGCGGCCUGCAGAUGACUCUACCCGUGCAUCUCGUGAGCGCCGGGCUGUCUCGGCUCGUGAUUCCCGCUCCCCCGAUCCUGGGCGCCGGGUGGAUCGCCGCUCUGACCGGGACGGCGGCCAGUCAGGGAGGAGGGGCGACUCUGUGACCGCGAGGGCCUCUCCUGCUCGCCGCUCUGUUAAGGCGCCUGGUGCCGCUGUUCAGUCAAAGAAGAAGAAGAAGAAGCACAAGAAGAAGAAGACCCCUGGGGUGGCCGCGUGUCCCGUUCCGGCUGGUGCUUCGGAGCUAGUGGCUCCUGAGCAGACCCCGCGAGUUGGCCGCCCCAGGACUCGCGGGGAGACGAUGUGCAUCAACUGUGGCUGCGCGGUGCCUUUCCGCUCGGAGUGUGAGGCCCCUCCUCGAUGCCCCACGACCCUUGCUUACCUUGGGUACGGGACUGAGGGGGGUGGUUUCUACUAUGUGGAUGCUGAGAUUGAGGAGGAGGCGGUUAGGCCGCACUUGGCGACGGUCACUCUUGCCCCCGAGCAGGACUUGCCGUCUGGGGUGGUGAUCUCGGCCGCCCUCAUCCAGGCCGAGCUCGCCGCAUACAUCGGCGACUUCCGCGACUCCGACUUCACUUGGGAGGUGACUGAGACGGCUCCCCUCGUCUUCUCGGUCCCCUUCCCCUCUGCUGAGCUGCUUCGCGUGUGUUCCCACGAUGUCAUCCGGUGUCCCAUCAACAAGCUCCUGAUCUCCGUUCGUGUAGCUGCCGCGGAGCCUGAUCCUGUGCCUCCUCUGGAGAGGGUGUGGGUUCUUGUCUACGGCUUGCCUCGAGGUGGCAGGUCGGCACCGCGGGGUGGCAAGCUUGCGCACAUUCUCAAGGCGAUCUCUGAGCCGGUGGGCAAGCUGGUGACCGCCGACUUGGCGUCUUUUGAGGAUGAUGGCCCAGCCCGCAUUGAGAUCCUGUGCCCCGCUUCGGCAGAGAUUGACGGUCUGUCCCUGGUCUUCUACUUAGGCACUAAGGGGAAGCGCCUGACCUUCGAGCUCGAGUCUCCGGUUCCUGAGGAUCUGCUUGGGCCGGCCCCCACAGCCACUGUGCCGCGCUUGGAUGAAGGGCAGGGUGGGGGCGGGGGCUCGUCCGAUGGGAGCUCUUCUUGUGAGGGGGAUGAUGAUGAUGAUGUGAUUCCGCCGGCUCCGUCUGCUGGGCGGCGUAGCCCGGUUUCUACUGUUGGUGGUUCUUCCGGUCCUGCUGGAACGGCCUCUCAGGUGGCGUCAGGGGGUGGGUUUGUGGCUGUGGUCGUCCCUCCCCCUGUUGCGACCCAGGUGGCUGACCCAGAGGUCGUGGAGGAGGACGUGGUGAGUGUGGGGAUGGAGGUGCGCCCCUCGUCGUCGCCGCGCUCGCCGGGGUCCCCCCUUCCCUUGCCUUGGGGGCCCUGGACCUGGAGCCGCCUCCGCCCUUGGACCUGGCCACUGUGACCCCUACCGCGGCCGACUCCAAGCUUCGGGGUGGGUCCUCUCCACUGGUGGCUGCGCGUCAGAGUGCAAGGCUCAGCCAGUCCCGGGUCAUCUUGGAUGGCCGUGUCCCGACGAUCUCGGAGAAGGCCGCCAUGCGGGCUGCAGCUCGUGACUUGUCCUCAGGUACCCCAUCCAUCCCCUCUGUUCCUUCUAGUUCUGAUUCUUGGUUUUCUGUGCUUGGUUUCGCUCCGUUGUCUCACCUGGCAGAGGUGGCCACCGAUAGUGGCAUUGUGUUUCGUGGAGAGAAGGGGCCCAUUCUUGAGCAGAUUUCUGCUAUUUGCGCCAAGGAGAGGCUCGAUGGGGCGUUGGCUGAAGCCCGUGCUUGUGCUGCGCGUGGUGAACCCAGCACCCCGGUGCACACUGACCCUGGUCAUAGAGAGACCAGGGCUGGUGAGGCGCCCCCUAUGGAGACUGGGGCGGAGACGCCCCUUGCAGUUCCCCCUCGGUGAGGGCUUUGCGAGGGCGCCCCCACACGUCUCAACCCCACUGAACACCGGAUAGAGGUGUGUGGGUCUAGUUCCAGGUCCGCUUCCCUCGGGCCGGAGGCUUCCGCCGCCCCCCUACGCGGGGGCGACGUGGACGCUCAGUGAAGGCAUCCCCCCGACCCGCGAUUGACGGGCGGGCUAGCUCGGCCCUGCUUGCGGGGACUAGGGAUUCCACUGAGGUUAUUAAAUGAAGCUCCUAUGUUGGAACAUUAGGGGCUUCGGCCUCUCUGGCCGGCGGCGGCAGCUCAUCGAAUAUUUGCGACAGGAAGAGAUUGACAUUGUGGGACUUCAGGAGACGAUUCGUCAGGACUUUAUUAUGCAAGAGCUCCAGGGGCUCUCCCGCCACCAGUUUGCCUGGCAGUGGCUGCCCGCUACGGGUCAAUCUGGAGGCAUCUUGCUCGGGGUCAGGGAGGAUGCUUUCUCGGUCGACGAUAUGGACCGAGGGGAGUUCUUCUUGAGCAUGUCUGUCACUGACCGACGAGUUCACUUCAGUUGGGAGGUGAUUUUUGUUUAUGGUCCUGCGGACCAUGCUCGCUCUGCCGUAUUCCUCGCUGAGCUUAAAAAUAAGGUAGAGAGGUGCACCACCCCGGUCGUGGUGGCCGAGGACUUCAACCUCAUUAGAUGGGCUUCUGAUAAAAGCUCGCCUAAUGUUGAUCGGGUCUGCAUGCGUCUAUUUAACGACUGCAUUGCAGACCUUGCGCUCCGUGAGAUAGCCCGCGUAGGGGCUAGGUUCACGUGGACGAAUAAGCAGGCGGACCCCAUCCGGAGUGUUUUGGAUCGGGUAUUUGUGUCGGCUCAGUGGGAAGUGAUGUUCCCAUUUUGCUCUCUCAAGGCGGUCACUCGGAUUGGCUCCGACCAUACCCUCCUGCUUUUCUCGUCGGGCGAUGUGUCUCCCCCUAGGACCCGCCGUUUCCGCUUUGAGACUUUUUGGCCGGAGCAGCCGGGCUUCUUUGAGUUGGUGCGCAACCGCUGGCUAGAGGCGGUCGCGUCCCCGCCCCGUGUGUUUUGUGCUGUGGAUGUGUGGCAUCACUGUGCUAAAUUGUCUCGUCAGGCCAUGAAGGGCUGGGGGGCGAACCUUGGUGCUGAGCUGCGAUCCCGUAAGGGGACCCUGCUGGAUCAGAUUAAGGUUUUGGAUGACCUUGCUGAUAGGCAGGGCCUGUCUCCUAAUGACUGGCUUAGGAGAUACGGCCUCGAGGCCUCGCUCAUGGACAUCUACAAGAGCGAGGAGCUCUUCUGGCAGCGGCGUGGGGGCUUGAACUGGCUCCUUAAGGGGGAUGCGAACACUGCCUAUUUUCGGGCGAUUGCUAAUGGCCGCAGGCAAAAGUGUGCUAUCCCUUUUCUCUAGGAUGUGGAUGUCCUUCUGGAAAGCCCAGAGGACAUCUCCACCCAUAUUUACUCCUUUUAUAAGGAGUUGUUCUCGGCUGAGCCGCGUGGAGGCGUCUCCCUCUGCGCUGACUUCUGGCCGCCUGCAGAGCAGGUCUCCAAUGCGGAGAAUGCGGAUCUUACUCUCCCUUUCUCUCCUGAGGAGGUGGGACGGGCGAUUGCUUCUAUGAAAGCCUGCUCGGCCCCGGGGCCGGAUGGCCUUCCGGUAGUCUUCUUUCAGAAAUUCUGGGAGAUCUUGCGCCCGAUCAUUAUGCCCAUGUUCCACGAGUUUUAUAUUGGAACCUUGGACAUGGCUAGGAUUAACUACGGUGUCAUAUCCCUGAUCCCCAAAGUAGUUGGGGCGACGGAUAUCCGCCAAUUCCGACCGAUCACGGUGAUCAACGUGUUGGAGCGAAUCUUUGCAAAGGUUUGUGCCACUCGUUUAUCACCGGUGGCGGAAAGGAUUGCUCACCCCCUUCAGUCCACCUUCCUGAAGGGCCGGUGGAUCCAUGAUGGAAUUCUUGCCCUUCACGAGAUCAUUCACUAGGUGGCGUCGAAGGGGCUCAAGGGGUUUUUCCUCAAAUUGGACUUCCAGAAGGCAUAUGAUCGUCUGGAUUGGUCCUUUUUGAGGUUGGUGAUGGAGCGACGAGGCUUCGACGUGAGGUGGUGUUCCUGGAUCAUGCAACUGGUUAGAUCUGGGAACACUGCGAUCAACAUUAAUGGUGAGGUGGGACCCUUUUUCCAGGCGUCCAGAGGAGUAAAGCAAGGGGACCCUGUUUCUCCCUUGCUUUUCAAUCUCGCAGUUGAUGCCCUUGCGGGCAUCUUAGAUAAGGCCAAGUUGGCCGGCCACCUUAAGCGUGUUGUUAGCCACCUCAUCCCGGAUGGGGGGGUUACUCACCUGCAGUAUGCGGACGACACCAUGAUUAUGGUGGAAGGCUCGGACUCUGACAUUGUUAAUCUUAAGUUCCUUUUGCUCUGCUUUGAGGAAAUGUCUGGACUUAAGAUUAACUUUGAUAAGAGCGAGGUGGUGGUACUUGGCUAUUCUGAGGCUGAGCAGCUUCGGAUCGCAGAUAAUCUCAACUAUAGGUUGGCGUCAUUCCCCAAUAUCUUACUUGGGGAUGCCCUUGGCCGAGCCCAGUAUUACAGUGAGUGGGUACGAUCCGCUAGUGGGGUGAGUAGCAUCCCGUGCGGAGCCCUGGUGCGGUAGGUUCACCUCUAAGGGCAGCAAAACUAUCCUCAUUAGCUCUAACCUUGCCAGCCUCCCCAUGUAUAUGAUGGGGAUGUACAUCUUACCUGAAGGUGUACAUAGCUCCUUCGACAAGGAGCUGGCUAGGUUCUUUUGGCAGGCAGGGGACGGUCGGCCCAAGUACCACAUGGUCAAGUGGGCUUACAUCUGUAUGCCUAAGGACCGAGGUGGGUUGGGCAUACCCGCAUCCCGCUGGAUGAACGUGGCGCUCAUGCUACGUUGGGUUUGGCGGAUCUUGCGGGGAGAUGGGGGGCUGUGGUUGCAGCUGGUUGAGGCCAAAUACUUGCAGGGCCAGCCCCUCUUGGUGUGUUCUCAGUCGGCUGGUUCUCAAUUCUGGAAAUCUAUUCAGGCCAUCAAGGAAGAGAUUAGGUUGGGUGUGCGCUUCUCGGUCGGCAAUGGGUCUGGGACCCAAUUUUGGUUGGACCCCUAGCUUCAGGGCGAGCUUCUCCGCCUGCGGUUCCCGCGUCUCUUUGCGAUUUGUGCGGACCCGGGCAUUCUAGUCUCUGAGGCGGCUCUGGAGGACGGAUGGAACAUUGCGUUCCGCCGGUCCUUAGGACCUGCUGAGGUCAGGGAAUGGGCAGACCUGAGGGAAGUAGUCCCUCUUCCUCUGUCCCUGGACCAUGAUUCGGUGUCGUGGAGCCUUUUGCCUUCGGGCGAUUUCUCCGUUAGUUCGGCUUAUCAAGCAUUAUGUAGGCUGCCGGUUCUACCGUGGCUAUCCCCAUUGUGGAAGGCACCGCUACCUUUGAAGAUCAAGAUUUUUGUUUGGCAGCUUCUUCGAGAUCGUCUCCCUUCAGGGACCGAGGUGCUGAAGCGCCAUGGUCCGUGCAAUGGACUGUGCCCUUUGUGCCAUGUCCCGGAAACGGGAACGCACAUUCUUUUCUCGUGCAUAGCAGCGCAGGCACUUUGGUGCUUUGUUCGUGAGGCUCUUGGGCCGGAGUGGGAGGCCACUGACCUCGCAGGAUUUCUGCAGGUUAUCGCCACCCAGGUUGGCCAUAAGCGCCGACUGUUCUGGCUUAUCUUCGCGGCUAUGAUGUGGACUCUCUGGACUACCCGCAAUAAGAUGGUGAUUGAGAGGGUGUUCCCGCGACGUGCUUCUGACUCGUUCUUCAAAUUUCUUGCCUUCCUGCAGCACUGGCAUCCGCUCGCUAGGCCGAGGGAUCGUGAUCGUCUUCAGCUUCUCUUGGACGCCCUGGUGUCUUCUACGCGCCGGCUCUCCGACCGCUUGUCUGCUACUUAGCUUGCCCCUGGAGGCCUUUGUUUUUUCCUUUCUUUUGGGCUUCUUUGUGCUGUGGCCCCAGCGUUUUCUCCUUUCUUGCUGACUGUACCUGAGAUGUGGCUGUAUGGACUUAUGCUUUAUCUAUAAAGCGGGGCGAAAGCCUAUUUCGGACAUGUGACCAGAUUUUGCAUGACAGUUCUCCAGUUCUUCCUUGGAAGCUUGCAAAACUUGAUGACUUGUAUUCCAUUCUUUUGUAAUCAAUCCUGUUUUCGAGCAAUUUAAGUUUGAUAAAUCAUUUCUUGCUUGCUGGAAACUUUGUUUUAAUAUAUACAGCUUGUUUCUUGCUAGUAGUACAAUGCUCCUACUACAAGUACAAUACUCCUUGCUUGUUCUAUUCCUGAAACUUGCUGUACUACAGGCCUACUUAUGUUCCAGAAGGCACUCUAAUGUUCAUCUAGCAAAACUUAUAGUUAUAAGUUAUUUUGAAGGCACUCUAAUAUUCAUCUCUUUUUGUUUCAUCAGGUUCUCAAGCACCAAAAGAAGCAACAAUAAACAAGCUGGAGGGAUAACUUUCUCUCAGAUUCUCAAAGAUAGAUGAUCAUGACACCAAAAGAUUGAUAUAUCUGUAUGCGGAAUUAUAACUGAUCUUGAGCUAUUCCAGAAGUACUUGUGUUGCGUUAUCUUUGCUGCAAAAUUAUGUUGGGGCUGUGAUGAACUGUUGUUGCUGCGAAAGAUCAUGUUGUCAUGAUAAAUUAUGAUUCCUGGGAUUCGGGAUUCGAAGUCAUGUUGUUAUGAUAAAUUAUGAUGUUGUUGUGAUGAUAUAUUGAUUUCGAGUCAUGCGAAAUUAUGUUGCUGAUGGGAAAAACUACUGCUAAAUUAUUCCCCUAUAGCAGCUUUUCUCAUUUUUAUUAGGUGGCCUUUACAAUUCUGUAGCAAGGAUAUAAGGGAGUUAGUUACAUUGUAAAGAUUGAAUUUUUAGAUGUUCUACACCAUGUUAUGUCAAUUUGACAAACCCUGCCUACCAAACAGAAAUUUUAAACGAAG
Molecule: long non-coding RNA, 9796 nt
Filed under: Triticum aestivum (bread wheat)
Lineage: Eukaryota; Viridiplantae; Streptophyta; Magnoliopsida; Poales; Poaceae
Description: long non-coding RNA (TAES_LNC020287)
Source: RNAcentral